GUCUCUAUGGAGUCUCCAUGGAGUCUCUAUGGGGCUGGGGGUCUCUAUGGGGUCUCCGUGAGGCUGGGGGUCUCUAUGGGGUUUCCAUGUGGUCUCUAUGGGGCUGAGAGGUCUCUAUGGGGUCUCUAUGGGUCUCCAUGGGGCUGAGGGGUCCCUAUGGGGUCUCUAUGGGGUCUCAAUGGGGUCUCUGUGAGGCUGGGAGUCUCUAUGGGGUCUCUAUUGGGUGUCUGUGGGGCUGGGAGUUUCCAUGGGGUCUCUAUGGGGUCUGUAAGUGGUUUGGGGUCUCUGUGGGAUAUCUAUGGGGUUUUUAUGGGGUCUCUAUGGGGUUUGGAGUCUCUACGGGGUCUCUAUGGGGUAUGGGGUCUCUAUGGGGUUUGAGGUCUCUAUUGGGGCUCUAUGGGGUCUCCAUGGGGCUGUGAGGUCUCUGUGGGGUCUCCAUGGGGUCACUAUGAGGUCUCUGUGAGGCUGGGGGUCUCUAUGGGGUCUCUAUGGGAGUCUAUGGGGUCUCCAUGGGUCUGAGAGGUCUCCAUGGGGUCUCUAUGGGGUCUCCAUGGGGCUGAGAGGUCUCUAUGGGGUCUCCAUGGGGUCUCUGUGAGACUGGGGGUCUCUAUGGGGUCUCUAUGGGUUUCCACGGGGCUGAGAGGUCUCUGUGGGGUCCCUAUGGGGCUGGGGGUCUCUAUGGGGUCUCCAUGGGGCUGAGAGGUCUCCAUGGGGUCUUUGUGAGGCUGGGGGUCUCUAUGGGGUCUCUAUGGGGAGUCUAUGGGGUCUCCAUGGGGCUGAGAGGUCUCUGUGGGGUCUCUAUGGGGCUGGGGGUCUCCAUGGGGUCUCCAUGAGGUCUCCAUGAGGCUGAGAGAUCUCUAUGGGGUUUCCAUGGGUCUCUAUGGGGCUGAGGGGUCUCUAUUGGGUCCCUAUGGGGUCCCUAUGGGGCUGGGGGUCUCUAUGGGGUCUCCAUGGGGCUGAGAGGUCUCUAUGGGUUUCCAUGGGGCUGCGAGGUCUCUAUGGGGUCACUAUGGGUCUCUAUGGGGUCUGUAUGGGGUCUCUGUGAGGUCUCUGUGAGGCUGGGGGUCUCUAUGGGGUCUCUAUGGGAUCUCCAUGGGGCUGAGAGGUCUCUAUGGGGUCUUUGUGAGGCUGGGGGUCUCUAUAGGGUCUCUAUGCGAGUCUAUGGGGUCUCCAUGGGGCUGAGAGGUCUCAUUGGGGUCUCUGUGGGGUCUCUAUGGGGUUUGGGGUCUCUAUGGGGUCUCUAUGGGGUCUCUAUGGGGCUGGGGGUCUCUAUGGGUCACUAUGGGGUCUGUAUGGGUCUGCGUGGGUCUCUAUGGGGUCUCUGUGAGGCUGGGGGUCUGCGUGGGGUCUCUAUUGGGUGUCUGUGGGGCUGGGAGUCUCCAUGGGGUCUCUAUGGGGUCUUUGAGUGGUUUGGGGUCUCUGUGGGAUAUCUAUGGGGUCUCUCCGGGGUCUCUAUGGGGUUUGGGGUCUCUAUGGGGUCUCUAUUGGGUCUCCAUGGGGCUGAGAGGUCUCUAUGGGGUUUCAGUGGGGUCUCUGUGAGGCUGGGGGUCUCUAUGGGGUCUCUAUGGGUUCUCCAUGGGGCUGAGAGGUCUCUACGGGGUCUCUAUGGGGUCUCUAUGGGGU
This is a long non-coding RNA of Gallus gallus (chicken), 1623 nucleotides long. The record is from Ensembl. Lineage: Eukaryota; Metazoa; Chordata; Aves; Galliformes; Phasianidae.